Molecule: ribosomal RNA, 468 nt
Filed under: uncultured bacterium
Lineage: Bacteria
Description: partial 16S ribosomal RNA
Rfam family: Bacterial small subunit ribosomal RNA
Source: RNAcentral
GACGAACGCUGGCGGCGUGCUUAACACAUGCAAGUCGAACGGAAAGGCCCUGCUUUUGUGGGGUGCUCGAGUGGCGAACGGGUGAGUAACACGUGAGUAACCUGCCCUUGACUUUGGGAUAACUUCAGGAAACUGGGGCUAAUACCGGAUAGGAGCUCCUGCUGCAUGGUGGGGGUUGGAAAGUUUCGGCGGUUGGGGAUGGACUCGCGGCUUAUCAGCUUGUUGGUGGGGUAGUGGCUUACCAAGGCUUUGACGGGUAGCCGGCCCGAGAGGGUGACCGGCCACAUUGGGACUGAGAUACGGCCCAGACUCCUACGGGAGGCAGCAGUGGGGAAUAUUGCACAAUGGGCGGAAGCCUGAUGCAGCAACGCCGCGUGCGGGAUGACGGCCUUCGGGUUGUAAACCGCUUUCGCCUGUGACGAAGCGUGAGUGACGGCAAUGGGUAAAGAAGCACCGGCUAACUACGUG